UUGUUAUUAAAGAUUUAUCGGUAACCGAUGGGGAUGCGUUCCAUUAGGCAGUGGGCGGGGUAACGGCCCACCAAACCGACGAUGGAUAGGGGGUUCUGAGAGGAAGGUCCCCCACAUUGGAACUGAGACACGGUCCAAACUCCUACGGGAGGCAGCAGUGAGGAAUAUUGGUCAAUGGGCGAGAGCCUGAACCAGCCAAGUAGCGUGAAGGAUGACUGCCCUAUGGGUUGUAAACUUCUUUUAUGCGGGAAUAACAAGCGGCACGUGUGCCGUUCUGCAUGUACCGUAUGAAUAAGCAUCGGCUAACUCCGUGCCAGCAGCCGCGGUAAUACGGAGGAUGCGAGCGUUAUCCGGAUUUAUUGGGUUUAAAGGGAGCGCAGACGGGUCUUUAAGUCAGUUGUGAAAGUUUGCGGCUCAACCGUAAAAUUGCAGUUGAUACUGGAGACCUUGAGUGCGGUAUAGGCAGGCGGAAUUCGUGGUGUAGCGGUGAAAUGC
RNAcentral lists this ribosomal RNA (495 nucleotides) under uncultured Bacteroidales bacterium. RNAcentral's name for it is "bacterial SSU rRNA". It matches the Rfam family "Bacterial small subunit ribosomal RNA", at positions 195 to 689 of the family's 1533-position model. Lineage: Bacteria; Pseudomonadati; Bacteroidota; Bacteroidia; Bacteroidales. The record is from RNAcentral.